Molecule: long non-coding RNA, 842 nt
Organism: Talpa occidentalis (Iberian mole)
Lineage: Eukaryota; Metazoa; Chordata; Mammalia; Eulipotyphla; Talpidae
Exons: 4
Source: RefSeq, a predicted model, not a curated record
GGAAAGGGAAGUUUCCAGGUCCCUGCCCCACCUGAGGAAGGGUGGAGGUGAGCAGCAAGCUGACUCUUAAAAGGACAUGGAAACGAUGCUUUGGUGAGCAAGAAGAUUGAAGAGGAGACCUGGAGGAGGCACACAGAGCAGAGAGACAUGUGAAGAAGCUGCGCUUGCUUCUCAGCCUUGGGCUUGAACCAGGGACUUGGGGGACAUGGAAGGGGACCCUUGAAAGAGACAGAGAGAGCUUCAGCUUCACUUUGCUGGAACCCUCUUCAAGGCCCUGGAUUCAACUGGAACAAGAGCCCUCCUUUCACUUGCCCAUCUCCCUUCCUGCUGGAUUGUGUGUGAGCGCUUCAUUCACGACUUCCUGACACCCUGAGAACUUUCCCCAACUCUGUGCCUGCGUCUUCCCAUACAGGAGCAAAGGGCAUGCGGAGAAUUAUCUUUAAAGCACCUGGCAACCUUUGAAGGAGAAAUGACGGAAGUAAGAGCGAGCCACUGAAUUAUCUCUAAAGCUCUUGGUGGCCUCCAAAUCUAUGAAUCUGACAUUCAAGAAGGAAGAGUAUGUGCCUCAAUUCACUGAAAUUAUAGACAGUCAUCUCAGCUGUCAGCUCUGUCUCUGACUGAGAUCCACCCUGGCCAUUACUCUUCCUCUCUACUGUCAUCGCUGAGCUCCAACCACUUCACAUCUUACGGGGGUGACAGCAACAACCUCCUGAUUACUCUCUACUUCCACUUAGACCACGCCAAAUCUGUUUUCCACACAGCAGCCAAAAGUACUUUUUACGACAUGGUUUGAAUUAUGCCAUUUACCUCCUAACACUUUUGCCUGGCUCCCUGUCAUGCUU